Molecule: long non-coding RNA, 397 nt
Filed under: Ananas comosus (pineapple)
Lineage: Eukaryota; Viridiplantae; Streptophyta; Magnoliopsida; Poales; Bromeliaceae
Description: long non-coding RNA (ACOM_LNC016168)
Source: RNAcentral
CUCCGAAACUCUUACUACGAUCCGUUUUCAAAUAACAGUAAUAAAUAAAUUUAAAAAUAUAAGAAAAUAUUAUCCAUCUCCAAUCUGUAAAGUAAAUAGAGCGAGAGGCUCCAUUUUUUUUUUUUUGAUCUGUUUCGAUUCGUCAAAAAUUAGCUUUCGUUUAUUGCUGUAAAUAGAAAAAUAUAUCGAAGUCAAAAAUAAGAUUAACCUACUGCGAUUUUGCACUAGUCCGACAAAUAAUAGAGCAGGAGGUUGGGGGACCCUUGCAGCCCAUAUGUCAUGCCUCGGAUUCCAACUCCAUUCGGACUCACCAAUAGAUCUGUCGCAUAAAUAAAAAAUUCUGUAUUAAAAUUCUCAUUCAUUUUACCUCUAAAUUGGUCCAAACAAGAUUCUACUC